UUCUAGCCCUCGAUUACAGUGGUAUCCUUUUUUGUUAUUGCGAUUGCGAAUUAUUUCGAUGGAUUGCAGCGUUUUGUUCGCAAUAACAAAAAAGAUAUAACGGAAAGCGGGUACAAUC
Molecule: small RNA, 118 nt
Filed under: Kaistella jeonii
Lineage: Bacteria; Pseudomonadati; Bacteroidota; Flavobacteriia; Flavobacteriales; Weeksellaceae
Description: Chryseobacterium jeonii Flavo-1 RNA
Rfam family: Flavo-1 RNA
Source: RNAcentral